UUCACAGCUCGACAGAUCUGACCUCUUGGCGCUAAAAAUCAAAUAUCUAAUUGUACAGAAUUCAUAUAAGGUUACCAUUAAUUUAUUUUGAAAAUAGACUCACUAAGGAAUCUAAAAAUAUAAAUUAUGACCUAUAAUUAUUUCUGUACAAUUUAUAAUGAUUUUCUAAAGUUAGAACAGGGGACUUCAAAAACCAUUCUGACCCUGUCUCACUAAAAUUUAAAUAUCUCAAAAUAUAAAAUUCCUUUGCCUACACCGUUUCUUUCAUGUAAAAAUAGACUUGAUAAGCUUUAAUUCUAUAUAUCAUUCACCCUCUAAUUCCAUUUCUAC
RNAcentral lists this long non-coding RNA (330 nucleotides) under Gossypium barbadense (sea-island cotton). RNAcentral's name for it is "long non-coding RNA (GBAR_LNC013351)". The record is from RNAcentral. Lineage: Eukaryota; Viridiplantae; Streptophyta; Magnoliopsida; Malvales; Malvaceae.